Heterocephalus glaber (naked mole-rat) is the source of this 1339-nucleotide long non-coding RNA. The record is from Ensembl. Lineage: Eukaryota; Metazoa; Chordata; Mammalia; Rodentia; Bathyergidae.
CCAUCUUUGUAUCAUUACUAUUAUUAUUAUUAUCAUUAACUGUUAUUAACCUAAGCCCAAACACCACAAAUUAAUUGUGAUGGAAGCAAAGACUUAGAAAAGGCCCGGGAAAUGAAGGAAUUGAAGAAACAGAGGCAGCUGCCAAAUCAGACUGGAGGCCAACUUAUUAAAAGCCUACAAGCAAUGGAGCCAGCUGACCAUGUACUGAAACUUCCAAAACGAUCUGAAUCCUCCCUUCAUCCUAACAAUUCCAUGGAGAGCUAAAAUACAGCGCAAACUGGACUAUUGACUUCAGCAUUCUGGUCAGAAGGUUAGGAGACAGAAAUGUACUUAAAAAGAAAUCACAUAUGACAGACUACAAAGCAAUAGAAGAGAUAUGAAAGCUGAAUUUGCCUCUCCAGCCCAAGGUUCAUUUUUUGAAUGUCUUUGUGCACUCAUAGUGGCUGAAACUGGCAGCUACCAGAUACCACCCGCUUGAUCUCCAUCCCGCAUUUUCUCCAGCUCCAUUCUUAAACUCUUCUCCCUUCUGAGAUUUCAGCUUCUUGUGUUUCUCUUUUCCUUGUGGCCUUCUACAAUCUUCCGCUCACACAUAACUCAUUGUUUUAAAAAUCUAGGUGCAUUAUUAUUCGAAUAUGGUGAGGCGAACUGUCACUGAAAAGACAGUUUGCUGUACACUCAGACCCCAGGAGAAGGGGCACAUCUUGCCACAGGCAGGUUGCAGAAUAAUAAAGAGGCACGAGGGAUGGUCAGGAAGCAGAGGGAGCUGGAGGAAACAUGGGUACAAAUCUUGGUUGUGUUUUCCACAGGAAGGAAUAUGCAAAGCAUGGUAGGCUGUUGUAGGAUUGGCUAGCUCCUCUGGGACGUAGGAGCUGUCCCUGGCUGUCUAUUACCUGGUUCUGGGGUGGUCAGGGAAGGUGGAUGUUGGCCCAGACUGUAAAGAGCUUGAUAAAGGAGUUGAUCAUUGUGUGGGUGCUGGGGUAGUUUGCACAUGAAAGGAUUCCUAGAAAUUGACUAACUCUGGGAAGGGCAGUGUCUCCAGAGUUAGCCGGGCCCUAGGACAGUGAUGGCAAAGCUUUCAGAUGGUGAACCUUUUAGAGCCCAAGUGCCCAAACUGCAACCUAAAAACCCACUUACUUAUCACAAAGUCCCCAAACUGCAAUUAAACCUGAAUACUGAGGUUUUCAUUUAGGAAAAACAACUCAGACACUUGGUGCCGACAGAGAGGGCACUGCUUCUCCACUGCAGCAUGCCUGCCAGAGGUUCACCACCACUGCCCUAGGAUAUUAAAGCAUCGGAAUAAAAGAGCAUGGUUCACACACAUGUAUUCUUUAGAGAAUAG